UACGGGGGGGGCAAGCGUUGUUCGGAAUUACUGGGCGUAAAGGGCUCGUAGGCGGCCAAUUAAGUCAGACGUGAAAUCCCCAAGCUUAACUUGGGAACUGCGUCUGAUACUGAGUGGCUUGAAUUCGGGAGAGGGAUGCAGAAUUCCAGGUGUAGCGGUGAAAUGCGUAGAUAUCUGGAGGAAUACCGGUGGCGAAGGCGGCAUGCUGGACCGAGAUUGACACUGAGGAGCGAAAGCCAGGGGAGCAAACGGG
Molecule: ribosomal RNA, 253 nt
Filed under: uncultured bacterium
Lineage: Bacteria
Description: partial 16S ribosomal RNA
Rfam family: Bacterial small subunit ribosomal RNA
Source: RNAcentral